AAAUUGAAGAGUUUGAUCAUGGCUCAGAUUGAACGCUGGCGGCAGGCCUAACACAUGCAAGUCGAGCGGUAGCACAGAGAGCUUGCUCUCGGGUGACGAGCGGCGGACGGGUGAGUAAUGUCUGGGAAACUGCCUGAUGGAGGGGGAUAACUACUGGAAACGGUAGCUAAUACCGCAUAACGUCGCAAGACCAAAGUGGGGGACCUUCGGGCCUCAUGCCAUCAGAUGUGCCCAGAUGGGAUUAGCUAGUAGGUGGGGUAACGGCUCACCUAGGCGACGAUCCCUAGCUGGUCUGAGAGGAUGACCAGCCACACUGGAACUGAGACACGGUCCAGACUCCUACGGGAGGCAGCAGUGGGGAAUAUUGCACAAUGGGCGCAAGCCUGAUGCAGCCAUGCCGCGUGUGUGAAGAAGGCCUUCGGGUUGUAAAGCACUUUCAGCGGGGAGGAAGGCGUUAAGGUUAAUAACCUUGGCGAUUGACGUUACCCGCAGAAGAAGCACCGGCUAACUCCGUGCCAGCAGCCGCGGUAAUACGGAGGGUGCAAGCGUUAA
RNAcentral lists this ribosomal RNA (552 nucleotides) under Klebsiella pneumoniae. Its description in RNAcentral is "bacterial SSU rRNA". It matches the Rfam family "Bacterial small subunit ribosomal RNA", at positions 1 to 544 of the family's 1533-position model. RNAcentral also lists the same sequence under 1 other name. Lineage: Bacteria; Pseudomonadati; Pseudomonadota; Gammaproteobacteria; Enterobacterales; Enterobacteriaceae. The record is from RNAcentral.